This 24-nucleotide non-coding RNA is filed under the name Cricetulus griseus (Chinese hamster). Lineage: Eukaryota; Metazoa; Chordata; Mammalia; Rodentia; Cricetidae. The record is from RNAcentral.
UCCUGACUGCUGCUUGAAUGUUCU